GUCUGAGGAGCCCUGCUGUGCCCCAGCUGUCCCGGUGAAGCACAUACCGGCUGCUUUCCCUCGAGGUGAGUUGGGUAACGACUUGUAAUCAAAACCUCCUGCUCACUGGACUACAUUCUGAAGGGAUCCGGGAGGAACUGUGGGAGCUGGUCACGACAGCGGGGCUCUCUGUGGAUCUGGCUUCUCCUGGGUUGGACAGUGAAGCAGGUUUGCUUGGCGCUCCGUACACAAGUGACUGCAGAGGGCAGAGAAGUGAGCCACAGUUUUAGGUCCCAGUGAUGCUGAAGGAUGUGUGUUUAGAUCCUUUCCCACAUGUGAAUGCUAGUGGGUAGGGUAAAGGCACUAUUUGAUUUACAAAUGAACUGUCAGAGUUUUGGAUUUAGCGUUGAUCUCGA
Molecule: non-coding RNA, 395 nt
Organism: Lepisosteus oculatus (spotted gar)
Lineage: Eukaryota; Metazoa; Chordata; Actinopteri; Semionotiformes; Lepisosteidae
Source: RefSeq, a predicted model, not a curated record